ACCGAGAUUCCCCCAGUAGCGGCGAGCGAACGGGGAGCAGCCCGGAGUCUGAAUCAGCUUGUGUGUUAGUGGAACGGUCUGGAAAGUCCGACGGUACAGGGUGAUAGUCCCGUACACGAAAACACACUUGCUGUGAACUCGAAGAGUAGGGCGGGACACGUGGUAUCCUGUCUGAAUAUGGGGGGACCAUCCUCCAAGGCUAAAUACUCCUGACUGACCGAUAGUGAACCAGUACCGUGAGGGAAAGGCGAAAAG
RNAcentral lists this ribosomal RNA (255 nucleotides) under Enterobacter hormaechei. RNAcentral's name for it is "partial 23S ribosomal RNA". It matches the Rfam family "Bacterial large subunit ribosomal RNA", at positions 228 to 521 of the family's 2925-position model. Lineage: Bacteria; Pseudomonadati; Pseudomonadota; Gammaproteobacteria; Enterobacterales; Enterobacteriaceae. The record is from RNAcentral.